UUAAGUUCAGCGGGUAUCCCUACCUGAUCCGAGGUCAAACCAUAGAAGAUUUGGGGGUCAUCUGGCGGGUGGUGCCCGAGCUCCGGAGCGGAUAGAAUUGACUACGCUGGGAGACGGACACCACUGCCUAUGAGUUUCGGACACGUCCUUGCGGACGAAGUCCAAUACCAAGCAGAAGCUUGAGGUUUGAAAUGACGCUC
This 200-nucleotide unclassified non-coding RNA is filed under the name Helicoma sp. RNAcentral describes it as "partial internal transcribed spacer 2". The record is from RNAcentral. Lineage: Eukaryota; Fungi; Ascomycota; Dothideomycetes; Tubeufiales; Tubeufiaceae.